GGGAUUAGAUACCCUGUUAUUCCAGAGCAAAAAUACGUCACACUGCCUGGGAACUACGAAGAAGCUUUAAAACCCGAGGGACUUGGCGGUGCAUUAAUCCCCCCAGGGGAACCUGGCCCUUAAUUCGAUGAUCCACGAACUUCUUACCUUUUCUAGAUAAGAAUAACUUGUAAAGAAGUUUCCUUAAACAGUUUGCAUACCGCCGUUUUCAGCUUAUAUCGCGAGGGGAUAGUAAUAGGCUAUAAAGUAGCUUAUAAUGAUUAUAAGUUGCUGUAAAUUCAGGUAAACGUGUAGCCAAUGAAAAGGGGUGAGCUGGGUUACAGUUGGGGUUUGAAGUAGCGUGUAACCUUAAAAGGUUUAUAUAAAAGAGUACUUGGAAGUAAUGAUCUUGGGCAAAGAGGUCGUGAAUAGUGCUCUAGUGUGUGUACAAAUCGCCCGUCACUC
This 444-nucleotide ribosomal RNA is filed under the name Nipponacmea gloriosa. RNAcentral describes it as "partial 12S ribosomal RNA". It matches the Rfam family "Bacterial small subunit ribosomal RNA", at positions 774 to 1402 of the family's 1533-position model. Lineage: Eukaryota; Metazoa; Mollusca; Gastropoda; Lottiidae. The record is from RNAcentral.